CCAUUGAACUCUAUUAUCUCAUUUCUAUCAAUUACUCCAACAAGAAAAAAAGGCAGUAAUCAUAUACUAUUAGAAGUUUUAUUAAUUUCAAUCCGAGGAAAUUCUAUUAAUGUUAGUCCAUGACUUCUUCGUGACAUAUAAUUAGUAAAUACUUGAACACCUAAUUCAGAGAAAUGCUGCAAAUGCACUUCCCAUACUGGGCAUCUCCGAAAAAGCUAAAAUUUAAACUUUCCAAAUUCGUCAUCUUUCAGUUGGCAUACGAGCAAACAAAUAAAAAUCCAAUUCAAAAAAAAUGUUAACAGUCAGACCUCUUCAUUAAUGGCCUCUUCGUAACAAAUGAGUAUAAACCUAGUAUAGAAUAUACAAAAAUGACAGAAUAAGGGAGCUUAAGGAUAAAUUCAGUACACCAAACCCUAAAAGAUCAACUCAAAUUAAAAAGUUUCAGUCAAGGAGGAAUCGUUACUAGCCUGUUUUUUCCGAUGACAAGGUCAAUUCCUUCAGAUGGUUAAUAUCGGCGAUGUAUUAAAGAUGAUGAUUUGGAUGAGAUAUUUUUUCUGUUGAUUAUGGCUAUGGUAAUAGCCAUGGAGGUGGUAUUGGUGGUAGCCAUAGAAACGGACGGGUCGAGAGUCUGAAGAAGAUGAGAG
RNAcentral lists this long non-coding RNA (644 nucleotides) under Nicotiana benthamiana. RNAcentral's name for it is "long non-coding RNA (NBEN_LNC010812)". Lineage: Eukaryota; Viridiplantae; Streptophyta; Magnoliopsida; Solanales; Solanaceae. The record is from RNAcentral.